UCACCGCAUAGAUGACAGAGGGAGCGAGGAGAGUGCUGAUCAAGUCAAUCUGGAGACCUCACCGCGAGAUGACAGAGGGAGCGAGGAGAGUGCUGAUCAAGUCAAUGAGGCGACAGCAUUAGAAGUGGUUUCCUGCAGUCAG
Salvelinus sp. IW2-2015 is the source of this 142-nucleotide non-coding RNA. The record is from RefSeq and is a predicted model, not a curated record. Lineage: Eukaryota; Metazoa; Chordata; Actinopteri; Salmoniformes; Salmonidae.